RNAcentral lists this ribosomal RNA (498 nucleotides) under uncultured Glomeromycotina. RNAcentral's name for it is "partial small subunit ribosomal RNA". It matches the Rfam family "Eukaryotic small subunit ribosomal RNA", at positions 591 to 1092 of the family's 1831-position model. Lineage: Eukaryota; Fungi; Glomeromycota. The record is from RNAcentral.
CCAAUAGCGUAUAUUAAAGUUGUUGCAGUUAAAAAGCUCGUAGUUGAACUUCAGGCCUGGCUGGACGGUCCGCCUUCCGGGCGAGUACUGUCUGUGGUCGGGUCCUACCUUCUGGCGAAGCGUUAUGGCCUUAACCGGCUGUGGCGGGGAACCAGGACGUUUACUGUUAAAAAAUUAGAGUGGUCAAAGCAGGCAAUUCGCUUGGAUACAUUAGCAUGGAAUAAUGGAAUAGGACAAUGGUUCUAUUUGUUGGUUUCUAGGACUGUUGUAAUGAUUAAUAGGGAUAGUUGGGGGCAUUAGUAUUCAAUUGUCAGAGGUGAAAUUCUUGGAUUUAUUGAAGACUAACUACUGCGAAAGCAUUUGCCAAGGAUGUUUUCAUUAAUCAAGAACGAAAGUUAGGGGAUCGAAGACGAUCAGAUACCGUCGUAGUCUUAACCAUAAACUAUGCCGAUUAGGAAUCGGGCGAUGUUGACAAAAUGACGCGCUCGGCACCUCAUG